Maniola jurtina (meadow brown) is the source of this 685-nucleotide long non-coding RNA. RefSeq lists it as uncharacterized. The transcript is spliced from 2 exons. The record is from RefSeq and is a predicted model, not a curated record. Lineage: Eukaryota; Metazoa; Arthropoda; Insecta; Lepidoptera; Nymphalidae.
UUAGUGUUUAGUUGGUUUUUUUUUAAUUGGUAAUUAAAAUUAUUGUGUUCGGUAGUUAUAUUUUGUAAAUAUUUGAGUUUGAUUAGACUUGAUGUUAGCGGGAAAGCUCUAAACUUGCAGAAAGUCCCAAAAAAAAUUCCAAAUGCUCUUGUAUUAUGAAAUUUGUUUAUUGCAUUUUGUACUGUAUUAUAGUUUGUUACUAUUUUUAUUUAAAGUGAAUUAUUUGUGUUUAUAAAAACAUAAAAUAUUAUCUUAUAUUAUAAAUUAUAAUAUGCUAGUACGGGGCUUCGCCCGGCGAAAAUAUGAAUCCCUUUAUUCCCUAUCCUGUGGGAAUUCCAAAAAAUCCGGCCUUAUUUCUUGUCUACAAAAUUUUGGCUUUCUAGCCCUAAAGGUUUGGGCUGGGCCAGUCAAUGAAUCUGGACUUAUUUUAAUUAUUUAGAUGUACAACAUUUCGACUGUUCCUCUAUGCUGUAAUAUUAAUAAUUUCAUUUUAAAUAUUGUUUUUCAUAGACUAGAAGGUAAGUAUUGAAUAUUUUAUAUACCAAAACGAAUAUAAUUAGCGUAGUUUAUAUAAUUAGUAGAUUUAUUAAGUUAGAGAUAGAUAUAUUUUAGAUUAAACAUUUCACACAAAACAAAUCAGUAACUAGGUGAUGCCUGCGACUUCGUCCACGUGGAUUAAGGCUGU